AACGAACGCUGGCGGUGUGCUUCAUACAUGCAAGUCGAACGAUAAGGCCCUUCGGGGUACAUAAGUGGCGGACGGGUGAGUAACGCGUAGGGAAUCUGCCUUAAGGAAGGGGACAACGUUGGGAAACUGACGCUAAUACCCUAUAUGUGGCUAGUUGAGAUACUAGUCAUGAAAUGUUCCGGCGCCUUAAGGUGAGCCUGCGUCUGAUUAGCUAGUAGGUGGGGUAAGAGCUUACCAAGGCGACGAUCAGUAGCUGGUCUGAGAGGAUGAUCAGCCACAAUGGGACUGAGACACGGCCCAUACUCCUACGGGGGGCAGCAGUAGGGAAUUUUGCGCAAUGGGCGAAAGCCUGACGCAGCAACACCGCGUGAGCGAAGAAGCCCUUCGGGGUGUAAAACUCUGUCGGCAGGGACGAAAAAAUGACGGUACCUGCAAAGGAAGCAUCGGCUAACUACGUGCCAGCCGCCGCGGUAA
Molecule: ribosomal RNA, 474 nt
Filed under: uncultured bacterium
Lineage: Bacteria
Description: partial 16S ribosomal RNA
Rfam family: Bacterial small subunit ribosomal RNA
Source: RNAcentral